This 439-nucleotide ribosomal RNA is filed under the name uncultured bacterium. RNAcentral's name for it is "bacterial SSU rRNA". It matches the Rfam family "Bacterial small subunit ribosomal RNA", at positions 954 to 1392 of the family's 1533-position model. The record is from RNAcentral.
GCAAAACGCGAAGAACCUUACCUACUCUUGACAUCUAGCGAAGAUUGCAGAGAUGCAGUUGUGCCUUCGGGAACGCUAAGACAGGUGCUGCAUGGCUGUCGUCAGCUCGUGUUGUGAAAUGUUGGGUUAAGUCCCGCAACGAGCGCAACCCUUAUCCUUAGUUGCCAGCACGUAAUGGUGGGAACUCUAGGGAGACUGCCGGUGAUAAACCGGAGGAAGGUGGGGACGACGUCAAGUCAUCAUGGCCCUUACGAGUAGGGCUACACACGUGCUACAAUGGUACGUACAGAGGGAGGCAAGCUGGCGACAGUGAGCGGAUCUCUUAAAGCGUAUCGUAGUCCGGAUCGCAGUCUGCAACUCGACUGCGUGAAGUCGGAAUCGCUAGUAAUCACAAAUCAGAAUGUUGCGGUGAAUACGUUCCCGGGUCUUGUACACACCG